This 468-nucleotide ribosomal RNA is filed under the name uncultured bacterium. Its description in RNAcentral is "partial 16S ribosomal RNA". It matches the Rfam family "Bacterial small subunit ribosomal RNA", at positions 28 to 507 of the family's 1533-position model. The record is from RNAcentral.
GAUGAACGCUGGCGGCGUGCUUAACACAUGCAAGUCGAACGGACAGGCCCUGCUCUUGCGGGGUUCUCGAGUGGCGCACGGGUGAGUAACACGCGAGUAACCUGCCCUUAUCUUUGUGAUAACUUCAGGAAACUGGGGCUCUUACCGCAUAGGAUCUCCUGCACCACGGUGGGGGUUGGAAAGUUUCGGCGGUUGGGGAUGGACUCGCGGCUUAUCAGCUUGUUGGUGUGGUAGUGGCUUACCAAGGCUUUGACGGGUAGCCGGCCUGAGAGGGUGACCGGCCACCAGGGGCCUGAGGUACGGACCAGAAUGCUACGGGAGGCAGCAGUGGGGAGUAUUGCGGAACGGGCGGACGCCUGAUGCAGAAGCGUCGCGUGCGGGAUGCCGGCCUUCGGGUUGAAAACAGCUUUCGCCUGUGACGAAGACUGAGUGACGGUAAUGGGUAAAGAAGCACCGGCUAACUACGUG